AGAUUGAACGCUGGCGGCAUGCUUUACACAUGCAAGUCGAACGGUAACAGGCCGCAAGGUGCUGACGAGUGGCGAACGGGUGAGUAAUGUAUCGGAACGUGCCCAGUCGUGGGGGAUAACGCAGCGAAAGCUGCGCUAAUACCGCAUACGAUCUAUGGAUGAAAGCGGGGGACCGUAAGGCCUCGCGCGAUUGGAGCGGCCGAUAUCAGAUUAGGUAGUUGGUGGGGUAAAGGCUCACCAAGCCAACGAUCUGUAGCUGGUCUGAGAGGACGACCAGCCACACUGGGACUGAGACACGGCCCAGACUCCUACGGGAGGCAGCAGUGGGGAAUUUUGGACAAUGGGCGCAAGCCUGGAUCCAGCAAUGCCGCGUGCAGGAAGAAGGCCUUCGGUGUAAACUGCUUUGUACGGAACGAACGGUCCUGGUUAAUACCUGGGCUAAUGACGGUACGUAAGAAUAAGCACCGGCUAACUACGUGCCAGCAGCCGUA
This 491-nucleotide ribosomal RNA is filed under the name uncultured soil bacterium. RNAcentral describes it as "bacterial SSU rRNA". It matches the Rfam family "Bacterial small subunit ribosomal RNA", at positions 26 to 519 of the family's 1533-position model. The record is from RNAcentral.